GACGAACGCUGGCGGCGUGCUUAACACAUGCAAGUCGAACGGAAAGGCCCUGCUUUUGUGGGGUGCGCGAGUGGCGAACGGGUGAGUAACACGUGAGUAACCUGCCCUUGACUGUGGGAUAACUUCAGGAAACUGGGGCUAAUACCGGAUAGGAGCUCCUGCUGCAUGGUGGGGGUGGGAAAGUUUCGGCGGUUGGGGAUGGACUCGCGGCUUAUCGGCUUGUUGGGUUGGUAGUGGCUUACCAAGGCUUUGACGGGUAGCCGGCCUGAGAGGGUGACCGGCCACAUUGGGACUGAGAUACGGCCCAGACUCCUCCGGGAGGCAGCAGUGCGGAAUAUUGCACAAUGGGCGGAAGCCUGAUGCAGCAACGCCGCGUGCGGGAUGACGGCCUUCGGGUUGUAAUCCGCUUUCGCCUGUGACGAAGCGUGAGUGACGGUACUGGGUAAAGAAGCACCGGCUAACUACGUG
Molecule: ribosomal RNA, 468 nt
Filed under: uncultured bacterium
Lineage: Bacteria
Description: partial 16S ribosomal RNA
Rfam family: Bacterial small subunit ribosomal RNA
Source: RNAcentral